RNAcentral lists this ribosomal RNA (1956 nucleotides) under human gut metagenome. RNAcentral's name for it is "bacterial LSU rRNA". It matches the Rfam family "Bacterial large subunit ribosomal RNA", at positions 3 to 1984 of the family's 2925-position model. The record is from RNAcentral.
UCAAGCUACAAAGAGCUUACGGAGAAUGCCUUGGUACAUGGCGCCGAAGAAGGACGUGACAAGCUGCGAAAAGCUGCGGGGAGGAGCAAAUAUCCUGUGAUCCGCAGAUAUCCGAAUGAGGGAACUCUGCACAAGUAAUAUUGUGUAAUCCGUUACUGAAUCCAUAGGUAACGGAGGGGAACCCGGGGAACUGAAACAUCUAAGUACCCGGAGGAAAAGAAAAUAACAAUGAUUCCGAAAGUAGUGGCGAGCGAAAUCGGAGAAGCCCAAACCUUAGGUAGUAAUACUUAAGGGGUAAGGACCGCGAGAUAGCAUCGGGAAAGGUAGUUGAAUUAUCUGGAAAGGUAAGACAAAGAGGGUGAAAUCCCCGUAAACGAAAUCUUAAACGAGCGAGCGUAAUCCGGAGUACGUCGGGACACGAGAAAUCCUGACGGAAGAAAUGGGGACCAUCCCAAAAGGCUAAAUACGACCAUGUGACCGAUAGCGAAUAGUACCGUGAGGGAAAGGUGAAAAGAACCCCGGGAGGGGAGUGAAAUAGAACCUGAAACCGUAAGCUUACAAGCAGACAGAGCACAUUUUAGGUGUGAUGUCGUACUUUUUGUAGAACGGGCCGGCGAGUUACGAUGUGAUGCGAGGUUAAGUGUUAAAGACACGGAGCCGAAGCGAAAGCGAAUCUGAAAAGGGUGCAAAGUAUCAUGUCGUAGACCCGAAACCGAAUGACCUAACCAUGAGCAGGUUGAAGCAAUGGUAAAACGUUGUGGAGGACCGAACACACGCCUGUUGAAAUAGUCGGUGAUGACUUGUGGUUAGCGGAGAAAUUCCAAACGAAUUCGGAUAUAGCUGGUUCUCCUCGAAAUAGCUUUAGGGCUAGCCUCGUAUAUGAUCCUUGUCGGUAGAGCACUAACUGGCCUAGGGGGCUUCACAGCCUACCGAAGCUUAUUAAACUCCGAAUGGCAAGGAAUCGAGUACGGGAGUCAGACAGCGACAGCUAAGUGCCGUUGUCAAAAGGGAAACAGCCCAGAUCUACAGCUAAGGUCCCCAAGUGCAGGUUAAGUGGAAAAGGAUGUGACAAUGCAUAGACAACCAGGAUGUUGGCUCAGAAGCAGCCACACAUUAAAAGAGUGCGUAAUAGCUCACUGGUCGAGUGAUGUUGCGCCGAAAAUUAACGGGGCUCAAACCUGCCACCGAAGCUUAGGAAUACGCGAUGCGUAUUGGUAGAGGAGCAAUGUAUAUGCGCAGAAGCCGUACCGGAAGGAGCGGUGGAGUAUAUAGAAGAGAGAAUGCCGGCAUAAGUAGCGAGAGCGGAGCGAGAAACUCCGCCGUCGAAAGUCUGAGGUUUUCCGGGGAAGGUUCGUCCGCCCGGAGUAAGUCGGGACCUAAGCGGAGGCCGAAAGGCGUACGUGAUGGACAGCGGGUUGAUAUUCCCGCACUACCGAGAGAGUAAAUGAAGCAGUGACACGGAAAGAUAGAAGAAGCGCGCAGAUGGAAAAGCGCGUCCAAGCAGUGAGGGAGGCUUGUAGUAAAGUACGCAAGUCAUAAUCCUGGGCUGUGACGGGGAGUGGACCAAGGAAACGAAGUCUUCGAAUCUACGCCGGCGAGAAAAGCUGCUAAAUAUUUCGAGGUACCCGUACCGCAAACCGACACAGGUAGACGAGAAGAAAAUUCUAAGACGAACGGGAGAACCCUUGUUAAGGAACUCGGCAAAAUGACCCCGUAACUUCGGGAGAAGGGGAGCCAUGGAGACAUGGCCGCAGUAAAGAGGCCCAAGCGACUGUUUAUCAAAAACACAGGUUUCUGCUAAGGCGUAAGCCAAGGUAUAGGAGCUGACUCCUGCCCAGUGCCGGAAGGUCAAGGGGAUCCGUCAACGCAAGUGAAGCGGUGAACUUAAGCCCCGGUGAACGGCGGCCGUAACUAUAACGGUCCUAAGGUAGCGAAAUUCCUUGUCGGGUAAGUUCC